GGGUUGUGAGGUUAAGCGACUAAGCGUACACGGUGGAUGCCCUGGCAGUCAGAGGCGAUGAAGGACGUGCUAAUCUGCGAUAAGCGCCGGUAAGGUGAUAUGAACCGUUAUAACCGGCGAUUUCCGAAUGGGGAAACCCAGUGUGAUUCGUCACACUAUCAUUAACUGAAUCCAUAGGUUAAUGAGGCGAACCGGGGGAACUGAAACAUCUAAGUACCCCGAGGAAAAGAAAUCAACCGAGAUUCCCCCAGUAGCGGCGAGCGAACGGGGAGGAGCCCAGAGCCUGAAUCAGCAUGUGUGUUAGUGGAAGCGUCUGGAAAGGCGCGCGAUACAGGGUGACAGCCCCGUACACAAAAGCGCAUGUGCUGUGAGCUCGAUGAGUAGGGCGGGACACGUGGUAUCCUGUCUGAAUAUGGGGGGACCAUCCUCCAAGGCUAAAUACUCCUGACUGACCGAUAGUGAACCAGUACCGUGAGGGAAAGGCGAAAAGAACCCCGGCGAGGGGAGUGAAAAAGAACCUGAAACCGUGUACGUACAAGCAGUGGGAGCACCCUUCGGGGUGUGACUGCGUACCUUUUGUAUAAUGGGUCAGCGACUUAUAUUCUGUAGCAAGGUUAACCGUAUAGGGGAGCCGGAGGGAAACCGAGUCUUAAUUGGGCGUUAAGUUGCAGGGUAUAGACCCGAAACCCGGUGAUCUAGCCAUGGGCAGGUUGAAGGUUGGGUAACACUAACUGGAGGACCGAACCGACUAAUGUUGAAAAAUUAGCGGAUGACCUGUGGCUGGGGGUGAAAGGCCAAUCAAACCGGGAGAUAGCUGGUUCUCCCCGAAAGCUAUUUAGGUAGCGCCUCGUGAAUUCAUCUCCGGGGGUAGAGCACUGUUUCGGCUAGGGGGCCAUCCCGGCUUACCAACCCGAUGCAAACUGCGAAUACCGGAGAAUGUUAUCACGGGAGACACACGGCGGGUGCUAACGUCCGUCGUGAAGAGGGAAACAACCCAGACCGCCAGCUAAGGUCCCAAAGUCAUGGUUAAGUGGGAAACGAUGUGGGAAGGCCCAGACAGCCAGGAUGUUGGCUUAGAAGCAGCCAUCAUUUAAAGAAAGCGUAAUAGCUCACUGGUCGAGUCGGCCUGCGCGGAAGAUGUAACGGGGCUAAACCAUGCACCGAAGCUGCGGCAGCGAACGUAUCACCCAAGACAACUUUACGGAGUUGACGAUUGACGGAGCGAAGCGACGUCAAAGCGUUCAUUAAAGUCGAGUUGGCUUAGGGAUACGUUCGUUGGGUAGGGGAGCGUUCUGUAAGCCUGUGAAGGUGUGUCGUGAGGCAUGCUGGAGGUAUCAGAAGUGCGAAUGCUGACAUAAGUAACGAUAAAGCGGGUGAAAAGCCCGCUCGCCGGAAGACCAAGGGUUCCUGUCCAACGUUAAUCGGGGCAGGGUGAGUCGACCCCUAAGGCGAGGCCGAAAGGCGUAGUCGAUGGGAAACGGGUUAAUAUUCCCGUACUUGGUGUUACUGCGAAGGGGGGACGGAGAAGGCUAUGUUGGCCGGGCGACGGUUGUCCCGGUUUAAGCGUGUAGGUGUGUGUUCCAGGUAAAUCCGGUUCACUUUAACACUGAGGCGUGACGACGAGGCACUACGGUGCUGAAGCAACAAAUGCCCUGCUUCCAGGAAAAGCCUCUAAGCAUCAGGUAACAC
RNAcentral lists this ribosomal RNA (1689 nucleotides) under Salmonella enterica subsp. enterica serovar Typhimurium. RNAcentral describes it as "partial 23S ribosomal RNA". It matches the Rfam family "Bacterial large subunit ribosomal RNA", at positions 1 to 1637 of the family's 2925-position model. The record is from RNAcentral. Lineage: Bacteria; Pseudomonadati; Pseudomonadota; Gammaproteobacteria; Enterobacterales; Enterobacteriaceae.